This 465-nucleotide ribosomal RNA is filed under the name uncultured Klebsiella sp. Its description in RNAcentral is "bacterial SSU rRNA". It matches the Rfam family "Bacterial small subunit ribosomal RNA", at positions 338 to 795 of the family's 1533-position model. Lineage: Bacteria; Pseudomonadati; Pseudomonadota; Gammaproteobacteria; Enterobacterales; Enterobacteriaceae. The record is from RNAcentral.
CCUACGGGAGGCAGCAGUGGGGAAUAUUGCACAAUGGGCGCAAGCCUGAUGCAGCCAUGCCGCGUGUGUGAAGAAGGCCUUCGGGUUGUAAAGCACUUUCAGCGGGGAGGAAGGCGGUGAGGUUAAUAACCUUAUCGAUUGACGUUACCCGCAGAAGAAGCACCGGCUAACUCCGUGCCAGCAGCCGCGGUAAUACGGAGGGCGCAAGCGUUAAUCGGAAUUACUGGGCGUAAAGCGCACGCAGGCGGUCUGUCAAGUCGGAUGUGAAAUCCCCGGGCUCAACCUGGGAACUGCAUUCGAAACUGGCAGGCUAGAGUCUUGUAGAGGGGGGUAGAAUUCCAGGUGUAGCGGUGAAAUGCGUAGAGAUCUGGAGGAAUACCGGUGGCGAAGGCGGCCCCCUGGACAAAGACUGACGCUCAGGUGCGAAAGCGUGGGGAGCAAACAGGAUUAGAUACCCUAGUAGUC